AAUUUAAGAUUUAUUUUUCGGAGUUGAAUAAAAUAUUUUUUUUUAUUAGUAUUUGGUUAGAAAUUAAUUUUUAAAUGAUAGUUUACAUGUAUUGUGAGAGUUAAUUUAAAUAUGAUGAAACAUUAGUUUGUUUAGAAGAAUAAUUAGGAUUUUGUACCUUGUGUAUCAGGGUUUAUUAAAAAUUGUUUAUUUAAUUAAUGAUCUCGAACUAUAAAGAGCUAAUAACUUAUAUAUUUAAUUGUAGAAUAAAUUUUUGUAAUAUAUUAUUAGGAAUGAAAUGUUAGGCGUUUUUUAGGAUAUCUAGUUGUUUAAGAAAUGAAUUUAAUUCAGCAAGUUAUACUUAUAUAAUUAAAUAUUUAAUUGUUUAAUAUAAUUUAGUAAUAUUUUAGGGGAUAAGCUUUAAAAUAAAGGUUUAUAAAUAAUUGGAUGGAACAAAAUUUAGUAGGAUUGAAAAUUUCUUUUUUGUUUGUUAUAAUUAUUUUUUGUGUUUAUAAUAUUUUUAUUGGUAUUUUAAUUUUUUUAUUGAAAUAAUUAAUUGAUUUUUGUUUUUAUUGUAAUAAUGAUAAAAUUAGUAUAUUUAUUUGUAAUAGAUUAUAAGUUUAGUUGCCAGGUUAUAUUAAGGAACUCGGCAAAUAUAUUUUCCGCCUGUUUAUUAAAAACAUGGCGUUUUGAUUAUAAUUUAAGGUCUGGCCUGCCCAAUGAGUAGUUGAAUGGCCGCGGUAUUUUGACCGUGCAAAGGUAGCAUAAUCAUUAGUUUUUUAAUUGAAAGCUGGAAUGAAUGGUCGGACGAGAAAAUAACUGUCUCAGUAUAAUUUUGUUAGAAUUUUAUUUUUAAGUUAAAAAGCUUAAAUAUGUUUAAAAGACGAGAAGACCCUAUAGAGUUUUAUACAUGUAUAUUUAUUGGUUUUAUAGUAUUUUGAUGCUAAUAUUUAGUAACGUAUUUUGUUGGGGUGACAGAAAAAUUGACUAAACUUUUUCUAAAAUUGAACAUUUAUUUAUGAUUGUUUGAUCCAUUAUUUAUGAUUAUAAGAUUAAAUUACCUUAGGGAUAACAGCGUAAUUUUUUUUGAGAGUUCUUAUCGAUAAAAGAGUUUGCGACCUCGAUGUUGGAUUAAAAUUAAUUUUUGGUGCAGAAGCUGGAAAAUUGGGUCUGUUCGACCUUUAAAAUUUUACAUGAUCUGAGUUUAAACCGGUGUGAGCCAGGUUGGUUUCUAUCUUUAAAUUAAGCAAAUAUUUUAGUACGAAAGGACCAAAUAUUUAUAAUAUUUAUUUAGUUUAUGUAUGUUAAUAAUAG
RNAcentral lists this ribosomal RNA (1293 nucleotides) under Propomacrus bimucronatus. Its description in RNAcentral is "16S ribosomal RNA". The stretch from base 856 to 1220 matches the Rfam family "Archaeal large subunit ribosomal RNA", at positions 2150 to 2716 of the family's 2987-position model. The record is from RNAcentral. Lineage: Eukaryota; Metazoa; Arthropoda; Insecta; Coleoptera; Glaphyridae.